CUGGCGCUGGACGACGACGGGCUGCGGGUGGAGGUCUGGGACACCUCGCCGGGACGUCCGAAGGCGUCCGAGCCGGA
RNAcentral lists this transfer RNA (77 nucleotides) under Mycobacterium tuberculosis. RNAcentral's name for it is "tRNA-Pro(ggg)". Lineage: Bacteria; Bacillati; Actinomycetota; Actinomycetes; Mycobacteriales; Mycobacteriaceae. The record is from RNAcentral.